This is a non-coding RNA of Sporothrix brasiliensis 5110, 71 nucleotides long. NCBI's taxonomy places the organism in Eukaryota, Fungi, Ascomycota, Sordariomycetes, Ophiostomatales, Ophiostomataceae. The record is from the annotation of a RefSeq genome assembly.
GAGGGAUUAAUUUAAUGGCAAAAUAAUCGCCUUACACGCGAAUAAUCAGUGUUCGAAUCACUGAUCCCUUA